RNAcentral lists this ribosomal RNA (487 nucleotides) under uncultured bacterium. RNAcentral describes it as "bacterial SSU rRNA". It matches the Rfam family "Bacterial small subunit ribosomal RNA", at positions 29 to 536 of the family's 1533-position model. The record is from RNAcentral.
AACGAACGCUGGCGGCAUGCCUAACACAUGCAAGUCGAACGAGGCCUUCGGGCUUAGUGGCGCACGGGUGCGUAACGCGUGGGAAUCUGCCCUUGGGUUCGGAAUAACAGUUAGAAAUGACUGCUAAUACUGGAUGAUGUCUUCGGACCAAAGAUUUAUCGCCCAGGGAUGAGCCCGCGUAGGAUUAGGUAGUUGGUGGGGUAAAGGCCUACCAAGCCGACGAUCCUUAGCUGGUCUGAGAGGACGACCAGCCACACUGGGACUGAGACACGGCCCAGACUCCUACGGGAGGCAGCAGUGGGGAAUUUUGGACAAUGGGCGCAAGCCUGAUCCAGCCAUGCCGCGUGCAGGAUGAAGGCCUUCGGGUUGUAAACUGCUUUUGUACGGAACGAAAAAGCUCUCUCUAAUACAGGGGGUGAAGUGACGGUACCGUAAGAAUAAAGCACCGGCUAACUACGUGCCAGCAGCCGCGGUAAGCUAGUCUACG